This 378-nucleotide unclassified non-coding RNA is filed under the name uncultured Parachlamydiaceae bacterium. RNAcentral describes it as "contains 16S-23S intergenic spacer region". The record is from RNAcentral. Lineage: Bacteria; Pseudomonadati; Chlamydiota; Chlamydiia; Parachlamydiales; Parachlamydiaceae.
UCCUGGUUAACCCAGGCAGUCUCAUUAGAGUUCCCACCAUUACGUGUUGGCAACUAAUGAUAAGGGUUGCGCUCGUUGCGGGACUUAACCCAACACCUCACGGCACGAGCUGACGACAGCCAUGCAGCACCUGUGCAGCAGUCCCGAAGGAAGAUACCAUCUCUGGUAUUGUCUACUGCAUGUCAAGCCUGGGUAAGGUUCUUCGCGUUGCAUCGAAUUAAACCACAUGCUCCACUGCUUGUGCGGGUCCCCGUCAAUUCUUUUGAGUUUCACCCUUGCGAGCGUACUCCUCAGGCGGUAUACUUAUCGCGUUAGCUACGACACAACCAGGGUUGAGUCCGGUUACAUCAAGUAUACAUCGUUUAGGGCAAGGACUAC